CCUACGGGUGGCUGCAGUGAGGAAUAUUGGUCAAUGGGCGCAAGCCUGAACCAGCCAAGUCGCGUGCAGGAUGAAGGAUCUAUGAUUUGUAAACUUCUUUUAUAUGGGAGUAAAGUGAGAAACGUGUUCCUUUUUGUAUGUACCAUAUGAAUAAGCAUCGGCUAACUCCGUGCCAGCAGCCGCGGUAAUACGGAGGAUUCGAGCGUUAUCCGGAUUUAUUGGGUUUAAAGGGUGCGUAGGUGGUUAGUUAAGUCAGAGGUGAAAUUUUGUGGCUCAACCAUGAAAUUGCCGUUGAUACUGGUUGACUAGAGAAUAUUUGAGGUAGGCGGAAUGUGUGGUGUAGCGGUGAAAUGCAUAGAGAUCAUACAGAACACCGAUUGCGAAGGCAGCUUACCAAGCUAUAACUGACAUUGAGGCACGAAAGCGUGGGGAUCAAACAGGAUUAGAUACCCCAGUAGUC
RNAcentral lists this ribosomal RNA (460 nucleotides) under uncultured bacterium. Its description in RNAcentral is "partial 16S ribosomal RNA". It matches the Rfam family "Bacterial small subunit ribosomal RNA", at positions 338 to 795 of the family's 1533-position model. The record is from RNAcentral.